CAGCAGCCGCGGUAAUACGGAGGGUGCAAGCGUUAUCCGGAUUCACUGGGUUUAAAGGGUGCGCAGGCGGGCUGUUAAGUCAGUGGUGAAAUCUCCGGGCUCAACCCGGAAACUGCCUCUGAUACUAUCAGUCUUGAAUACUGUUGAGGUGGGCGGAAUAGGUCAUGUAGCGGUGAAAUGCAUAGAUAUGACCUGGAACCCCAAUUGCGAAGGCAGCUCACUAAGCAGAAUAUUGACGCUCAUGCACGAAAGCGUGGGGAUCAAACAGGAUUAGAUACCCUGGUAGUCCACGCCCUAAACG
Molecule: ribosomal RNA, 301 nt
Filed under: uncultured bacterium
Lineage: Bacteria
Description: bacterial SSU rRNA
Rfam family: Bacterial small subunit ribosomal RNA
Source: RNAcentral